This 301-nucleotide ribosomal RNA is filed under the name uncultured bacterium. RNAcentral describes it as "partial 16S ribosomal RNA". It matches the Rfam family "Archaeal small subunit ribosomal RNA", at positions 459 to 760 of the family's 1478-position model. The record is from RNAcentral.
CAGCCGCCGCGGUAAUACCAGCACCUCGAGUGGUCAGGAGGUUUAUUGGGCCUAAAGCAUCCGUAGCCGGUUGCAUAAGUUUUCGGUUAAAUCUAUGCGCUUAACGUAUAGGCCGCCGAAAAUACUGUGCAGCUAUGGAGUGGGAGAGGUACACGGUACUCGAUAGGAAGGGGUAAAAUCCUUUGAUCUAUUGAUGACCACCUGUGGCGAAGGCGGUGUACCAGAACACGUUCGACGGUGAGGGAUGAAAGCUGGGGGAGCAAACCGGAUUAGAGACCCCCGUAGUCCCUGUCUCUUAUAC